CCUACGGGUGGCAGCAGUGGGGAAUAUUGGACAAUGGGGGCAACCCUGAUCCAGCCAUGCCGCGUGUGUGAAGAAGGCCCUCGGGUUGUAAAGCACUUUCAGUGGGGAAGAACGCCUGGUGGUUAAUACCCAUCAGGAAAGACAUCACUCACAGAAGAAGCACCGGCUAACUCCGUGCCAGCAGCCGCGGUAAUACGGAGGGUGCGAGCGUUAAUCGGAAUUACUGGGCGUAAAGCGCGCGUAGGUGGCUUGAUAAGCCGGUUGUGAAAGCCCCGGGCUCAACCUGGGAACGGCAUCCGGAACUGUCAAGCUAGAGUGCAGGAGAGGAAGGUAGAAUUCCCGGUGUAGCGGUGAAAUGCGUAGAGAUCGGGAGGAAUACCAGUGGCGAAGGCGGCCUUCUGGACUGACACUGACACUGAGGUGCGAAAGCGUGGGUAGCAAACAGGAUUAGAUACCCCAGUAGUC
RNAcentral lists this ribosomal RNA (465 nucleotides) under Vreelandella stevensii. Its description in RNAcentral is "partial 16S ribosomal RNA". It matches the Rfam family "Bacterial small subunit ribosomal RNA", at positions 338 to 795 of the family's 1533-position model. Lineage: Bacteria; Pseudomonadati; Pseudomonadota; Gammaproteobacteria; Oceanospirillales; Halomonadaceae. The record is from RNAcentral.